RNAcentral lists this microRNA precursor (86 nucleotides) under Solanum tuberosum (potato). RNAcentral's name for it is "MIR8024 microRNA precursor family". It matches the Rfam family "MIR8024 microRNA precursor family". Lineage: Eukaryota; Viridiplantae; Streptophyta; Magnoliopsida; Solanales; Solanaceae. The record is from Rfam by way of RNAcentral.
UUGAAACAUUUGAAGAUUUUAACUUGCAGACUUAAUGAAUUUGAAGACUUCAUCUUGCAGACUUGAAGAAUUUGAUGAUCUCAACU